RNAcentral lists this transfer RNA (75 nucleotides) under Candidatus Woesearchaeota archaeon. RNAcentral describes it as "tRNA-Glu". It matches the Rfam family "tRNA". Rfam says of the family: Transfer RNA (tRNA) molecules are approximately 80 nucleotides in length. Their secondary structure includes four short double-helical elements and three loops (D, anti-codon, and T loops). Further hydrogen bonds mediate the characteristic L-shaped molecular structure. tRNAs have two regions of fundamental functional importance: the anti-codon, which is responsible for specific mRNA codon recognition, and the 3' end, to which the tRNAs corresponding amino acid is attached (by aminoacyl-tRNA synthetases). tRNAs cope with the degeneracy of the genetic code in two manners: having more than one tRNA (with a specific anti-codon) for a particular amino acid; and 'wobble' base-pairing, i.e. permitting non-standard base-pairing at the 3rd anti-codon position. The record is from RNAcentral. Lineage: Archaea; Nanobdellati; Candidatus Woesearchaeota.
GCCCCUGUGGUGUAGUCCGGCCAAUCAUUUCGCCCUUUCGAGGCGAAGACUCGAGUUCAAAUCUCGGCGGGGGCG